Passer domesticus (house sparrow) is the source of this 2623-nucleotide long non-coding RNA. RefSeq lists it as uncharacterized. The record is from RefSeq and is a predicted model, not a curated record. NCBI's taxonomy places the organism in Eukaryota, Metazoa, Chordata, Aves, Passeriformes, Passeridae. The transcript has 4 exons.
GCUGGUGCGCUCCCUGGGCAGCUCGGCAGGCACGGAGCGGGUCCCGCUCUCACCGCGUGGAACGAGGAACGGGAGUUUCUGUGGGUGGCAGGGAACCGAGACAGGUGGGAGCCGCCACACUCCGCGCCUCUGAACGCUGCCACUAAUAACCAUUUGCAAGUGCUAAUGGUGCUCGGUAUAAUAGCAUCAAGGACACGCUGCCGCAAGGAGGUGACAAAAUAAUGGGUGGUUAUCGUUAGCCUGAUAUACCCCCUAAUUAGUGAUGCACAGGAAUUACCGCGAUUAUUUUCCGCCGUGGUUACAGCUGCGGUGAGAGCUGAUAAUCAGCUGUUGCCAUAACUCUCUGCACACCUCGGAGCUCACGAUAAGGGCGCCUGGUGGGCAGAGUGACCUGAGCUGUUUCCCUGCGUCUGGACCCCUCCGGUGCCCAUGGGCGAGCAGAGCCCUUCAACUCCAGCUGCCAGGGACUGUUCCAGUGAAAAUGGGAGCCCAGCAUAAUAAAUGAGAAAAUGAUGAAAACUUCAUGUACUCUGUAAUUAUGAUAAACAGUUCUCUGCAAUGGAACAGCAUCACUUCCACACAGAGCAGCACCAGUUCCGGGCACUCUGGGAAUGUUCGUUCUCUGAUUUCUGCAGGAAAAGUGGAUGCCAGUGGAGAGGCCCUCCCUGCAGCUGAGCCCGUGGUGUGAGCGUGGGCUGCCCUGUGACGGUGAGCCCCACGGCCCAGGAACAGCUGGGAAUUGCACAGCGAGCCCCAGGGACAGCUGGGCAGGGCACAGCGAGCCCCACAACCCAUGGACACCUGGGCAGGGGUGCUGUGCCUGCAGCACAGCCACCACCAGGCAAGUCUACAAUGCGGAGCAAGGCAAGAAGCAGAAACGACCGUGUCCUCAUUCUGCACACUGCAGCCACACAAAGGGAGUGUUUGGUGGUUAAAUACAGCAUUAGGAAAACGAGUGGAACGGAGCCAGCCCUGCGAGGCAGAAGGCGGGCAGCAGCUGGGAGCGGAUUGCUCAAGACGGCACAGAGAAGCUUUCACUGAGCCCCGGGUACCCGGCACUCCACACUGCCAGGGGGCUGUGCAGCUGCCCAUCCCGCAGGGACGGCUGCAGCCCCUCCCACGACCCCAGCCGGGACAGGGGCAGGUGACACCUCCCGGGCCACCUCACCCCCGGGCCGAGAUAGUGACAACACCUGUGCUGUCACAGUGACAACACCUGUGCUGUCACAGUGUUGUCACCUGAACUGUCACAGUGACAAGACCCGUGUGUCACCCCAGCUGGCAGCUCAGCUGAAUCCCUACCCUUCCCAGCCUGGCACGCUGCCUGCAGUGGGCUCUGCCUGCUCUCCUUUAGAAAUGCAGGAACUUUCUGCCCUGCUGACUCUGAAGGAGUUCAUCAGGCUGAAAUGCCCACUCAGACGAGAGGUCACCUAAUCAUUUGACAGCAUGUCGUGACUUAGCUUUGCCAUCCACAGAGAGCAGUUUUCCUGGGCUCGAACAAAGCCAUUCUGGGCAGGAUCCAUGCAGCUGGCAAACAGUGGGGAUCGCUCUGCCUCGGCUGCACAAAGACCUUGUUUCCUCCUGCACGUGCAGAGCUCACCCAAAGCGAAGGUACUCGCGGUCCCUGAGGGACGUCACCGUCACGGCUGGUGACAAACCCACAGCUGACUCAGGGAUCUGUCUUUGGGGCUGAGCUGGGAGCACUGGGCUUCCUUCUUGAAUUUCUGCUCCUUUGGCUUCUGCCUCUGUAAGACGAGACCGAUGCCCUAUAAUCCUCCCACACACAGACACUCCUGACUGCAGCUCAGAGCUGGGGGCAUUUCAGCGUACAACCCGGGUUUCACUCUUUUUGUUUUCAGAGCAGAGGCAAGGCUUAGAGUCAGCCAACACUACACACCUACAUCAAACACCUUAAUCCCACCCAGUUCUGAACCGUGGCCACUGCUCUAGUUUAUAAAAAUGCUUUGCAGUGGUUGCACCUUGCCCACAUAUAUUGAUUUCUCCUCCAGCUUCUGCUGGGUAUUUAUCUCUCCUUGUUUUUCCCCAAUAUCUACAGAACUGCCAUUUACCAGAAAGGCUGAAAUUUGAAAUGAGGAGCAUUAACAUUAAAUUGCCCAUGGCACCCAGAAGCAGCAGCAGGCUCUGGGACUGCGUGGGGAAAGAAGCCUCUGCUGUGGGGGAAGCACGGCAGCAGCCUCGGGGUGUUGGGGACACGGGAGAUUUGCAGCCUCUGGAGCAGGAGGAACUAAGUCUUUCAUCCUGAAGGACCAGAAGCAGUGAGAAGGCACUUAGCAUGAUGUAGAAACAGCUCAAGUUUUUUUGACAACUGAUUUCAUCUUGAACACUAAGUUUUACUUUGGAGACAGACUACAAGGACAAGGACAGGCUGGACAAUUGUGUUCACUGGUUUCCUGAGCUUGUUGAGCCAAGAGUAAAGCAGGCACAGCCAAGAGAACAAAGCCUAAAGCUGCCUUGCAGGAGUAUCUGCAGUGACAUAAUUCAGUGUCAGGGAUUCACUCAGCACACGAGCACAGAACAGCUGGAUGAAGCUCUGCUGGAAGCAUCUCCCACAGGCACCCCGGGAGCAGCUCCCCUACACCAGCAGGCCCAGAAGGGACAGGCA